Molecule: transfer RNA, 77 nt
Filed under: Shigella sonnei
Lineage: Bacteria; Pseudomonadati; Pseudomonadota; Gammaproteobacteria; Enterobacterales; Enterobacteriaceae
Also listed under: 1 other name
Description: tRNA-Met
Rfam family: tRNA
About the family: Transfer RNA (tRNA) molecules are approximately 80 nucleotides in length. Their secondary structure includes four short double-helical elements and three loops (D, anti-codon, and T loops).
Source: RNAcentral
GGCGGGGUGGAGCAGCUUGGUAGCUCGUCGGGCUCAUAACCCGAAGGUCGUCGGUUCAAAUCCGGCCCCCGCAACCA